AAACUCACUUUCUGGUACGCUAUCACAACCUAGCGUACGACACCAAGACUCCAGGAAUGGAGAUGGCGGCAGGUGGGCCGCAUUUUAAGCCACCCAGGUGAAGUGCUUCGGCCAGACACUUAUCGUAUCACUAUACUAGUGUUCAGGGUUCAAGACCUUGCUGUCACCGUUCUCAACGUAUGUCUUCGAAUCCCGACUUCCCUUGUCUCUUCUCACGCCUAACGCUGGGUCGUCCAUCGUGGACGAGAUCCUCC
RNAcentral lists this long non-coding RNA (254 nucleotides) under Volvox carteri. RNAcentral's name for it is "long non-coding RNA (VCAR_LNC003257)". The record is from RNAcentral. Lineage: Eukaryota; Viridiplantae; Chlorophyta; Chlorophyceae; Chlamydomonadales; Volvocaceae.